RNAcentral lists this ribosomal RNA (253 nucleotides) under uncultured bacterium. Its description in RNAcentral is "partial 16S ribosomal RNA". It matches the Rfam family "Bacterial small subunit ribosomal RNA", at positions 524 to 776 of the family's 1533-position model. The record is from RNAcentral.
UACGUAGGGUGCGAGCGUUGUCCGGAUUUAUUGGGCGUAAAGGGCUCGUAGGCGGCGUGUCGCGUCGGGAGUGAAAGCCCGUUGCUUAACGGCGGGUUGGCUUUCGGUACGGGCAGACUAGAGUGCGGUAGGGGAGAUCGGAAUUCCUGGUGUAGCGGUGAAAUGCGCAGAUAUCAGGAGGAACACCGGUGGCGAAGGCGGAUCUCUGGGCCGUAACUGACGCUGAGGAGCGAAAGCAUGGGGAGCGAACAGG